ACGGAGGUUGCAAGCGUUGUUCGGAAUAACUGGGCGUAAAGGGAGCGCAGGCGGUUUGGUAAGUCUAAAGUGAAAACCCAGGGCUCAACUCUGGACCUGCUUUGGAUACUGCCAGGCUUGAGUACGUGAGAGGAGAUUGGAAUUCCAGGUGUGGCGGUGAAAUGCGUAGAUAUCUGGAGGAACACCGGUGGCGAAGGCGGAUCUCUGGCACGUUACUGACGCUGAGGCUCGAAAGCGUGGGGAGCAAACGGGA
Molecule: ribosomal RNA, 253 nt
Filed under: uncultured prokaryote
Description: partial 16S ribosomal RNA
Rfam family: Bacterial small subunit ribosomal RNA
Source: RNAcentral